Molecule: non-coding RNA, 71 nt
Organism: Podarcis lilfordi (Lilford's wall lizard)
Lineage: Eukaryota; Metazoa; Chordata; Lepidosauria; Squamata; Lacertidae
Source: the annotation of a GenBank genome assembly
GUUCAUGUGAUGACUGUUUUUAAGUUCAACUGCUGAGUGAUUCAGAAAUGAACUAAAACCUAACACACUGA